Molecule: ribosomal RNA, 495 nt
Filed under: uncultured bacterium
Lineage: Bacteria
Description: bacterial SSU rRNA
Rfam family: Bacterial small subunit ribosomal RNA
Source: RNAcentral
GACGAACGCUGGCGGCGUGCCUAAUACAUGCAAGUCGAGCGAACCAAUAGGAGCUUGCUCCUGUUGGUUAGCGGCGACGGGUGAGUAACACGUGGGCAACCUGCCUGUAAGACUGGGAUAACACCGGGAAACCGGUGCUAAUACCGGAUAAUCCUUUUCCUCUCAUGAGGAGAAGCUGAAAGUCGGUUUCGGCUGACACUUACAGAUGGGCCCGCGGCGCAUUAGCUAGUUGGUGAGGUAACGGCUCACCAAGGCGACGAUGCGUAGCCGACCUGAGAGGGUGAUCGGCCACACUGGGACUGAGACACGGCCCAGACUCCUACGGGAGGCAGCAGUAGGGAAUCUUCCACAAUGGACGAAAGUCUGAUGGAGCAACGCCGCGUGAGCGAUGAAGGCCUUCGGGUCGUAAAGCUCUGUUGUUAGGGAAGAACAAGUACCGGAGUAACUGCCGGUACCUUGACGGUACCUAACCAGAAAGCCACGGCUAACUACGUG